UACGGGAGGCAGCAGUGGGGAAUAUUGCACAAUGGGCGCAAGCCUGAUGCAGCCAUGCCGCGUGUAUGAAGAAGGCCUUCGGGUUGUAAAGUACUUUCAGCGGGGAGGAAGGCGAUGUGGUUAAUAACCGCGUCGAUUGACGUUACCCGCAGAAGAAGCACCGGCUAACUCCGUGCCAGCAGCCGCGGUAAUACGGAGGGUGCAAGCGUUAAUCGGAAUUACUGGGCGUAAAGCGCACGCAGGCGGUCUGUUAAGUCAGAUGUGAAAUCCCCGGGCUUAACCUGGGAACUGCAUUUUGAACUGGCAGGCUUGAGUCUCGUAGAGGGGGUAGAAGUUCCAGGUGUAGCGGUGAAAUGCGUAGAGAUCUGGAGGAAUACCGGUGGCGAAGGCGGCCCCUGGGACGAGACUGACGCUCAGGGUGCGAAAGCGUGGGGAGCAAACAGGGAUUAGAUACC
RNAcentral lists this ribosomal RNA (455 nucleotides) under uncultured bacterium. RNAcentral describes it as "bacterial SSU rRNA". It matches the Rfam family "Bacterial small subunit ribosomal RNA", at positions 340 to 786 of the family's 1533-position model. The record is from RNAcentral.